RNAcentral lists this transfer RNA (58 nucleotides) under Sarcophilus harrisii (Tasmanian devil). It matches the Rfam family "tRNA", at positions 8 to 63 of the family's 71-position model. From Rfam's summary of the family: Transfer RNA (tRNA) molecules are approximately 80 nucleotides in length. Their secondary structure includes four short double-helical elements and three loops (D, anti-codon, and T loops). Further hydrogen bonds mediate the characteristic L-shaped molecular structure. tRNAs have two regions of fundamental functional importance: the anti-codon, which is responsible for specific mRNA codon recognition, and the 3' end, to which the tRNAs corresponding amino acid is attached (by aminoacyl-tRNA synthetases). tRNAs cope with the degeneracy of the genetic code in two manners: having more than one tRNA (with a specific anti-codon) for a particular amino acid; and 'wobble' base-pairing, i.e. permitting non-standard base-pairing at the 3rd anti-codon position. The record is from Rfam by way of RNAcentral. Lineage: Eukaryota; Metazoa; Chordata; Mammalia; Dasyuromorphia; Dasyuridae.
UAGCUCAGUCGGUAGAGGAUGAGAGUCUUAAUCUCAAGGUCGUGGGUUCGAGCCCCAC